GUUCGAGAGUUCGAUAGUAAUCGAAUUAAUACAUUCGAGAGCUCGAAACUCAUAGCUCUGUCAACAGUUUUAACCGAUCAUGUCCGAUUAUUGCCGAAUCAUUCCGAAACCCGAUCCUGUCCGAAGUUUUCCGAUUCAUUCCGAGAUUUGGAUUCCGAGGUGUGAAACGUUCUGACAUUGUUAAUUCUUUUUGUGUCUUCAUUUCACGUUUUUCCCAUUCGAACGCAAUAUUUUCCAUCAACCAAGAAACCUGGAACUACUUCAUUCUCCAAAGAAUAGCGUUAUUAUUGAGAAAAAAGAGGAACCAAAUGCUUUCAAAGAGAAUUUAUAUGGUGCAUGGUCAUACAUUUAAACGGAGUAUAAAUGGUAUAAGUAAGUGGAUAAAUGACGAUUAGUUGGAUAUUACACGAAUUCGCUUAAUCAUGUAAUACUGGAUCUCAAAGCGAAAAUCAACUAAAAUUACAUAUCAUGUAAAAUUGUAUUAGAAACGUUAGAAACUUCAGUUGAAGCUCAACUACGUGCUUUAGUUUAUCUUCAUGUAAAUGGGAUUUCAUCGAAAUUCUCUAAAUACGAAACUAUAUUUCGCAAAAUUAUAUUUCACAAUUAUUCGCUAUAUUAGUAUAAAACAAUAACGAUCCGAAAUAAAAUAACUUCUUUGUUAU
Long non-coding RNA from Apis cerana (Asiatic honeybee), 662 nucleotides. RefSeq lists it as uncharacterized. NCBI's taxonomy places the organism in Eukaryota, Metazoa, Arthropoda, Insecta, Hymenoptera, Apidae. The record is from RefSeq and is a predicted model, not a curated record.